Molecule: non-coding RNA, 230 nt
Organism: Pelobates cultripes (western spadefoot toad)
Lineage: Eukaryota; Metazoa; Chordata; Amphibia; Anura; Pelobatidae
Source: the annotation of a GenBank genome assembly
AGUGGAUAAUGUGUGCUUGUUUAGUGGAUGUAUUGUGUAGUGCAUGCUGUGCUUGUGUAGUGGAUGAUGUGUGUUUGUGUAGUGGAUGAUGUGUGUUUGUGUAGUGGAUGCUGUGUGUGUGUGUGUGUGUGUAGUGGAUGCUGUAUUUGUGUCGUGGAUGAUGUGUAUGGUUGUGUAGUGGAUGCAGUUUGUGUGUUUAUGUGGUGGAUGAUGUGUGUGGUUGUGUAGUG